GAGCACGCGAGGAAGGAGGAACUGUGCGCUGGCCAUCAACGCUGUCAUCGUCGCCGAUCCGCGAGUCCUCACCGCGCCAGCAACGCCUACACCGUCGACCCACAGUCCUGAUGUGGAGGAGUUGACCGACAUCCCGGACGACCAGAAGAUCCAGAAGGACUACCUUGACACCCGGAGGACCCAGAAGGAUGUAUCAGACGACCAGAAGUCGUCAGAGAACGAGGAAGGCUACGAAGACCUAUCAGCCUGAUAGAUGCAGGAUCCGAGAGAAGGAGUCGACAGGACAACAAACGUGGAAGGAGUUAAGGAUGGCCCGAGCUACACUCCGAGCUGCCUGUGGAGAAAGAUCGAGAAGAUUCGUGAAGAUGAAGUUUGCCCAGAAGACUAGAUAUCGUUUCCGCUUUCUGUUUGUUUUCUUUUAGCCCAAGGGGCUUGUACUCUGAGACUCGUAUUACAAUCCUUUGGAUUAUGUAAUAAAUAAACCCAUGUGAUGUUGUAAA
Molecule: long non-coding RNA, 500 nt
Organism: Panicum virgatum (switchgrass)
Lineage: Eukaryota; Viridiplantae; Streptophyta; Magnoliopsida; Poales; Poaceae
Exons: 3
Source: RefSeq, a predicted model, not a curated record